Long non-coding RNA from Trachemys scripta elegans, 784 nucleotides. RefSeq lists it as uncharacterized. NCBI's taxonomy places the organism in Eukaryota, Metazoa, Chordata, Testudines, Emydidae. The record is from RefSeq and is a predicted model, not a curated record. The transcript has 2 exons.
GCAAAAGGACCCAGUUGUGUGUGGGAGGGGGCGGGGAGUGGAAAAAAGAAUGGACACACAUACCCAGAGUUGUGUUUUUGGAGUUUGCUAUCCCAGAACCACAAGGCCAGCUUAUUCUCUGCAUAGCAACAUGCUAGACAGAGACAGCUGCAGAGCAGAGAAUGCGUUAUCUUCCGUAUGGUCAGUACUGAGCAUGGGCAGAUUAGUGGUGAGCCAGAGCAUGACCAAUGUCCUCCCAUCUCAGUGUCCACUGUGUAUGGCCAAUGCAGAUGAUGGGAUGUAUUAUCACAAUCAUUGUUGUUGGAGGGGAACUUCAAAUGGCUCCUGUCCCCUUUGUUCCUUCACCUUCUCCCUCUCCCAUUAUCUGACAGUCAAUGGAAUUUACAGCCUAGCUCCCAGACAGCUACAGGGCUGAUCUAUUUUAUCUCACAUGCUUUGAACAGGAUCCUAGCUGCAUCAGCUGCCCAUCCCUGCCCCAGCUGUGUUAGCAAAGCUGUCCCUCCAUGUCCCUGUGAAGGACGAUCCAGCGGGCCCUUUCCUCCUGCAUGUGACUAACCCUUCUCCACCCUCUCCCCACCAAGUGGACUGUUGCCUCGUGCUGGCGUCGUGGGACUGUGCUUCCGGCUGCCAUGUAGCGAGAGGCCAGAGUUUGUCAGACAAGCAAAGAGAUAUGAUGAAUCUUUGAUCCCGACAUGAGUGGUGCCAGCCAUCUCUCUGGUGUUUGCACUCAGACAACCAGAAGACCAAAGAAAGGCAAGAAUAAUAAAUAAUGGUAUUGUCUUCA